GACGAACGCUGGCGGCGUGCUUAACACAUGCAAGUCGAACGGUAAGGCUCCAGCUUGCUGGGGUACACGAGUGGCGAACGGGUGAGUAACACGUGGGUGACCUGCCCUGCACUUCGGGAUAAGCCUGGGAAACUGGGUCUAAUACCGGAUAGGACCGCACCGUGAGGGUGUGGUGGAAAGUUUUUUCGGUGUGGGAUGGGCCCGCGGCCUAUCAGCUUGUUGGUGGGGUAAUGGCCUACCAAGGCGGCGACGGGUAGCCGGCCUGAGAGGGUGGACGGCCACAUUGGGACUGAGACACGGCCCAGACUCCUACGGGAGGCAGCAGUGGGGAAUAUUGCACAAUGGGCGGAAGCCUGAUGCAGCGACGCCGCGUGGGGGAUGACGGCCUUCGGGUUGUAAACUCCUUUCACCAUCGACGAAGGGUUUCUGACGGUAGAUGGAGAAGAAGCACCGGCUAACUACGUGCCAGCAGCCGCGGUAAUACGUAGGAUGCGAGCGUUGUCCGGAAUUACUGGGCGUAAAGAGCUCGUAGGUGGUUUGUCGCGUCGUCUGUGAAAUUCCGGGGCUUAACUCCGGGCGUGCAGGCGAUACGGGCAUAACUUGAGUACUGUAGGGGAGACUGGAAUUCCUGGUGUAGCGGUGAAAUGCGCAGAUAUCAGGAGGAACACCGGUGGCGAAGGCGGGUCUCUGGGCAGUAACUGACGCUGAGGAGCGAAAGCAUGGGGAGCGAACAGGAUUAGAUACCCAGGUAGUCCAUGCCGUAAACGGUGGGCGCUAGGUGUGGGUUUCCUUCCACGGGAUCCGUGCCGUAGCUAACGCAUUAAGCGCCCCGCCUGGGGAGUACGGCCGCAAGGCUAAAACUCAAAGGAAUUGACGGGGGCCCGCACAAGCGGCGGAGCAUGUGGAUUAAUUCGAUGCAACGCGAAGAACCUUACCUGGGCUUGACAUAUACAGGAUCGCGCCAGAGAUGGUGUUUCCCUUGUGGCUUGUAUACAGGUGGUGCAUGGUUGUCGUCAGCUCGUGUCGUGAGAUGUUGGGUUAAGUCCCGCAACGAGCGCAACCCUUGUCUUAUGUUGCCAGCACGUUGUGGUGGGGACUCGUAAGAAACUGCCGGGGUUAACUUGGAGGAAGGUGGGGAUGACGUCAAAUCAUCAUGCCCCUUAUGUCCAGGGCUUCACACAUGCUACAAUGGUCGGUACAGUGGGUUGCCAGUCCGUGAGGGCGAGCUAAUCCCGCAAAGCCGGUCUCAGUUCGGAUCGGGGUCUGCAACUCGACCCCGUGAAGUCGGAGUCGCUAGUAAUCGCAGAUCAGCAACGCUGCGGUGAAUACGUUCCCGGGCCU
RNAcentral lists this ribosomal RNA (1341 nucleotides) under uncultured bacterium. Its description in RNAcentral is "partial 16S ribosomal RNA". It matches the Rfam family "Bacterial small subunit ribosomal RNA", at positions 28 to 1381 of the family's 1533-position model. The record is from RNAcentral.